UACGUGUGGAGCAAGCGUUAUCCGGAUUUACUGGGUGUAAAGGGAGCGCAGGCGGCUUUGCAAGUCUGAUGUGAAAGGCCGGGGCUCAACCCCGGGACUGCAUUGGAAACUGUAAAGCUAGAGUGCCGGAGAGGUAAGCGGAAUUCCUAGUGUAGCGGUGAAAUGCGUAGAUAUUAGGAGGAACACCAGUGGCGAAGGCGGCUUACUGGACGGCAACUGACGCUGAGGCUCGAAAGCGUGGGGAGCAAACAGG
Molecule: ribosomal RNA, 253 nt
Filed under: uncultured bacterium
Lineage: Bacteria
Description: partial 16S ribosomal RNA
Rfam family: Bacterial small subunit ribosomal RNA
Source: RNAcentral